Long non-coding RNA from Malaclemys terrapin pileata, 2012 nucleotides. RefSeq lists it as uncharacterized. Lineage: Eukaryota; Metazoa; Chordata; Testudines; Emydidae. The transcript has 3 exons. The record is from RefSeq and is a predicted model, not a curated record.
CAGCCUGGAUGGGCGCCGCCCGCGCCGUCUGGCCGAGAACCCCCCCCCCCCCCACGCAGCCAAUCCGAUUUCCGCCGCUUCCCUUCUUCCAGAUCCCCCCUCCCCACCACGGGGAUCCCGAGCCUGCGGGGGGAAGGAGGAGGGCGGCGAGACGGGCUCGGAUCCGCGCCCCUCCGGGGGUGAGCGGCAGCCCUUGGGCGAAGAGCCACAGGGGCUGCAAGACUCUGGAGCUGACAGCCAGUGGAGGAGCUCUGGCAGGGUUCCAGCGACAGGUGACAGCAGCGACAAGCGACAAGAGACCCCCUGCAAAGUUCCAGCAACAGGACUCCAAUUGUGCCAAAAAGUGGAAACAUUUAUACAAGCAAUGAAACUGCACAUCAGCAGCACCCAAGAUGACAGUCACCAUGGGAACAUUAUCAUUUCUCAUAAAACGCACUGAUAGCACAGCAGUUCAAGGAAUGGUCACGAGAAGUGCAGGAUUACUAUAUAUGGAGAGAGAGAAGUGUGAGCAAGAUAAAUAUUGAGGUGAAAAAGUAGCUAGUUUAAAUUCAAUCCAGAUAAGAAAGAAAUUAUGCUGAUAUGAGGAAAACAAGGAACUAGCAGGAGCUCUGGUCUUACCUUUAUGGAAGAUGUCUGCCCUGAUUGCCAUGAUGAGAUACAGCCUUGUGCUCCUUCUGGGCUCACUGGAUCUCCAAAACACCCGAAUAGCAGAAAUAUGGCUUUUUCCAGUUUCAGCAAGCUAGGAGCCUGCACUCUUUCCUAUCAGGUGAUCAAUACCAGUGCCACUUUAAGGCUUGCCUACUGCAAUUUGUUCAGCAUUGGACUACUAUGAAGGCUACAUAGAAAAGUCAGCUGGUUCCUUAUGCAGUGAACAGCCAUUUAGAUAAGUCCGACCAACAAGAGCACAUCACAUUGGUGCUUGAUCCUCCCAUCUGGCUCCCUAUGCAAUUCUACAUCCAUUUCAAGGUUUUAGUGCUAAUCUUCAAAUAUUUCAAUGGGCUGGGGCCUAGAUAUCUCAAAGAUUCUGUGCAACCCAGCUUGACAGCUGAGAUCAAUGGGCACACUGUGGCUGAUGGUGUCUUCAGUGAAACUGGAGAUCAGAACAAGCCUGUCAUAGAACACGGUGCCAAACACUUCUACAUAUGCCUUACUGCAAUGAUGACAGCUUUUUUUCCAGGAAAAGAAACAAGAAUGAAUAUUCCCCUUAGAAAAAUGGUGGUGAGAUCACGGAGAGCAGGAGUGUGUUAUCUUUGUGGACGAAAUUUUGCAUAUCUUGUGUAUUUGAUGGCUGCAUGCUAGAUUAUGGUGAUGGUACUUUAGGAAUGACAGGUAGAGAGACAAUUCUUCAGAGGUGCUGAGCACUUGUAAUUUACAUUAACUGCAACAGCAUCUCUGCGGAUUUGGCCUAUAGAGAGGGAGGAGGAGGAUGAAACAGUUACAAAUGACACUGUAAGUGGCAACACUCAACAACAACCUCCACAAGCAUAGGCACACAUAUUUGGAAGGAAAUGUGAAGCAUAAAAGAAGUCAAUAAAAGAGCCAAGCUGAGGCUUUUGAACAGCACACAAGAGAGCAUGGGGGGACAGCAUAACCCAGUGACGAGGGUCACAGCUAAAAGGCAAAGCAAGGACCUCUCUUCAUUCCUUAUAUACAGAUACCUGGAUAUCCAUCCAGCUGUGUGGCCACAUUUGCCCCUUUCUGUUGCCGGGCAGCUGCUUUUGCUAUCGAGUUCUGUGGACACUGCAGUGCAGCAAACAUUUGCUGUUCCUUCCAAACCAAUGUUGAAAAUGCUGGCGUGGACAGGAUCAGCCAAGUUCAACACCCAUCAUAGUAAAGUAUACUAGACCCUGGCUGGAAGAGACUGAUACAAUACUGAGAGAUUAGAAGGAAAAGCUAAUCAGAGUUUUCUUAACCCUAUCUCUUGUUCCCAUACAGUCCAUUGCCUUAAUAAUGAAAGAGUAAUGUUCCCGUCAUCCCAUGUAUACUAGUGUGUUGUUGUGUGGUCAUGAGCA